Molecule: unclassified non-coding RNA, 299 nt
Filed under: uncultured fungus
Lineage: Eukaryota; Fungi
Description: partial contains small subunit ribosomal RNA, internal transcribed spacer 1, and 5.8S ribosomal RNA
Rfam family: Eukaryotic small subunit ribosomal RNA (bases 1-73)
Source: RNAcentral
GCAAACUUGGUCAUUUAGAGGAAGUAAAAGUCGUAACAAGGUCUCCGUUGGUGAACCAGCGGAGGGAUCAUUACAGGGUCUUACGACUGCCCAAAACCAACCGUGCUCCUUUCCUUUUAUCUUGCUUCGGUGAUCGCCUGCUGGGGAGGCCACCGGCCGGGCGUCAUGCCUGGUGGUUGCCGAAGCAUACCUAUCCAAAACUUUACUUUGCAACGUAUCUUCUGAGAACUUUCUAUAAAAGAACAAUCACAACUCACAACAAUGGAUCUCUUGGCUCUGGCAUCGAUGAAGAACGCAGC